CCGAUUAUUCCGGGAUAGCCUUUCGAAAGAAAGAUUAAUACUGGAUAGCAUAACGAGAAGGCAUCUUCUUGUUAUUAAAGAAUUUCGAUAAUCGAUGGGGAUGCGUUCCAUUAGUUUGUUGGCGGGGUAACGGCCCACCAAGACAUCGAUGGAUAGGGGUUCUGAGAGGAAGGUCCCCCACAUUGGAACUGAGACACGGUCCAAACUCCUACGGGAGGCAGCAGUGAGGAAUAUUGGUCAAUGGACGAGAGUCUGAACCAGCCAAGUAGCGUGAAGGAUGACUGCCCUAUGGGUUGUAAACUUCUUUUAUAUGGGAAUAAAGUGAGCCACGUGUGGCUUUUUGUAUGUACCAUACGAAUAAGGAUCGGCUAACACCGUGCCAGCAGCCGCGGUAAUACGGAGGAUCCGAGCGUUAUCCGGAUUUAUUGGGUUUAAAGGGAGCGUAGGCGGAUUAUUAAGUCAGUUGUGAAAGUUUGCGGCUCAACCGUAAAAUUGCAGUUGAUACUGGUAGUCUUGAGUGCAGCAGAGGUAGGCGGAAUUCGUGGUGUAGCGGUGAAAUGCUUAGAUAUCACGAAGAACUCCGAUUGCGAAGGCAGCUUACUGGACUGUAACUGACGCUGAUGCUCGAAAGUGUGGGUAUCAAACAGGAUUAGAUACCCUGGUAGUCCACACAGUAAACGAUGAAUACUCGCUGUUUGCGAUAUACAGCAAGCGGCC
Molecule: ribosomal RNA, 717 nt
Filed under: uncultured bacterium
Lineage: Bacteria
Description: bacterial SSU rRNA
Rfam family: Bacterial small subunit ribosomal RNA
Source: RNAcentral